Molecule: non-coding RNA, 209 nt
Organism: Caenorhabditis elegans
Lineage: Eukaryota; Metazoa; Nematoda; Chromadorea; Rhabditida; Rhabditidae
Source: Ensembl
AGGAUAAAAUAAGAAAAUUGAGAAGAAGAGAUGGUGUUUUCCACUUCAUUCGCGCGUAUGUGAAUCGCAUCGAAACGAUGUGAACUAGGCGCGCGCCCCGAGGGCAAUGCUCUUCCAAUUCGCGCAGUUUUUCUUUGCGCGGCCAUUCUUCUUUCUUCCCUUCAUAGUUACACUCGCACACCCCCCCCCCCCUCACAUACCCACUCGCU